This 1409-nucleotide ribosomal RNA is filed under the name Lactiplantibacillus plantarum. RNAcentral describes it as "bacterial SSU rRNA". It matches the Rfam family "Bacterial small subunit ribosomal RNA". The record is from RNAcentral. Lineage: Bacteria; Bacillati; Bacillota; Bacilli; Lactobacillales; Lactobacillaceae.
UCUGGUAUUGAUUGGUGCUUGCAUCAUGAUUUACAUUUGAGUGAGUGGCGAACUGGUGAGUAACACGUGGGAAACCUGCCCAGAAGCGGGGGAUAACACCUGGAAACAGAUGCUAAUACCGCAUAACAACUUGGACCGCAUGGUCCGAGUUUGAAAGAUGGCUUCGGCUAUCACUUUUGGAUGGUCCCGCGGCGUAUUAGCUAGAUGGUGAGGUAACGGCUCACCAUGGCAAUGAUACGUAGCCGACCUGAGAGGGUAAUCGGCCACAUUGGGACUGAGACACGGCCCAAACUCCUACGGGAGGCAGCAGUAGGGAAUCUUCCACAAUGGACGAAAGUCUGAUGGAGCAACGCCGCGUGAGUGAAGAAGGGUUUCGGCUCGUAAAACUCUGUUGUUAAAGAAGAACAUAUCUGAGAGUAACUGUUCAGGUAUUGACGGUAUUUAACCAGAAAGCCACGGCUAACUACGUGCCAGCAGCCGCGGUAAUACGUAGGUGGCAAGCGUUGUCCGGAUUUAUUGGGCGUAAAGCGAGCGCAGGCGGUUUUUUAAGUCUGAUGUGAAAGCCUUCGGCUCAACCGAAGAAGUGCAUCGGAAACUGGGAAACUUGAGUGCAGAAGAGGACAGUGGAACUCCAUGUGUAGCGGUGAAAUGCGUAGAUAUAUGGAAGAACACCAGUGGCGAAGGCGGCUGUCUGGUCUGUAACUGACGCUGAGGCUCGAAAGUAUGGGUAGCAAACAGGAUUAGAUACCCUGGUAGUCCAUACCGUAAACGAUGAAUGCUAAGUGUUGGAGGGUUUCCGCCCUUCAGUGCUGCAGCUAACGCAUUAAGCAUUCCGCCUGGGGAGUACGGCCGCAAGGCUGAAACUCAAAGGAAUUGACGGGGGCCCGCACAAGCGGUGGAGCAUGUGGUUUAAUUCGAAGCUACGCGAAGAACCUUACCAGGUCUUGACAUACUAUGCAAAUCUAAGAGAUUAGACGUUCCCUUCGGGGACAUGGAUACAGGUGGUGCAUGGUUGUCGUCAGCUCGUGUCGUGAGAUGUUGGGUUAAGUCCCGCAACGAGCGCAACCCUUAUUAUCAGUUGCCAGCAUUAAGUUGGGCACUCUGGUGAGACUGCCGGUGACAAACCGGAGGAAGGUGGGGAUGACGUCAAAUCAUCAUGCCCCUUAUGACCUGGGCUACACACGUGCUACAAUGGAUGGUACAACGAGUUGCGAACUCGCGAGAGUAAGCUAAUCUCUUAAAGCCAUUCUCAGUUCGGAUUGUAGGCUGCAACUCGCCUACAUGAAGUCGGAAUCGCUAGUAAUCGCGGAUCAGCAUGCCGCGGUGAAUACGUUCCCGGGCCUUGUACACACCGCCCGUCACACCAUGAGAGUUUGUAACACCCAAAGUCGGUGGGGUAACCUUUUAGA